RNAcentral lists this ribosomal RNA (519 nucleotides) under Saitozyma podzolica. RNAcentral describes it as "eukaryotic LSU rRNA". The stretch from base 75 to 228 matches the Rfam family "5.8S ribosomal RNA". Lineage: Eukaryota; Fungi; Basidiomycota; Tremellomycetes; Tremellales; Trimorphomycetaceae. The record is from RNAcentral.
CCUCUGUGAACCGUGCCCUUCGGGGCUAUUUUACAAACAUGGUGUAAUGAACGUCAUAUAUCAUAACAAAACAAAACUUUCAACAACGGAUCUCUUGGCUCUCGCAUCGAUGAAGAACGCAGCGAAAUGCGAUAAGUAAUGUGAAUUGCAGAAUUCAGUGAAUCAUCGAAUCUUUGAACGCACCUUGCGCCCUCUGGUAUUCCGGAGGGCAUGCCUGUUUGAGUGUCAUGUAGACUCAAUCCCUCGGGUUUCCGAGGAGAUUGGACUUGGGUGUUGCCGCUCUGCCGGCUCGCCUUAAAAGACUUAGCGGGAUAGCACCGUAGUCGGCGUAAUAAGUUUCGUCGGUGAAGGUUGUGAUGACUGCUUACAAUCGCCCUCGGGCAAUUUUUGACUCUGACCUCAAAUCAGGUAGGACUACCCGCUGAACUUAAGCAUAUCAAUAAGCGGAGGAAAAGAAACUAACAAGGAUUCCCCUAGUAGCGGCGAGCGAAGCGGGAAGAGCUCAAAUUUGAAAGCUGG